RNAcentral lists this ribosomal RNA (641 nucleotides) under Russula raoultii. Its description in RNAcentral is "LSU rRNA". It matches the Rfam family "Eukaryotic large subunit ribosomal RNA", at positions 43 to 659 of the family's 3401-position model. Lineage: Eukaryota; Fungi; Basidiomycota; Agaricomycetes; Russulales; Russulaceae. The record is from RNAcentral.
UCAAUAAGCGGAGGAAAAGAAACUAACAAGGAUUCCCCUAGUAACUGCGAGUGAAGCGGGAAAAGCUCAAAUUUAAAAUCUGGUGGCUUUGGUCAUCCGAGUUGUAAUUUAGAGAAGCGUCUUCCGCGCUGGACCGUGCACAAGUCUCCUGGAAUGGAGCGUCAUAGAGGGUGAGAAUCCCGUCUUUGGCACGGACGCACCAGGGCUUCUGUGAUGCGCUCUCGAAGAGUCGAGUUGUUUGGGAAUGCAGCUCAAAAUGGGUGGUGAACUCCAUCUAAAGCUAAAUAUUGGCGAGAGACCGAUAGCGAACAAGUACCGUGAGGGAAAGAUGAAAAGCACUUUGGAAAGAGAGUGAAACAGUACGUGAAAUUGUUGAAAGGGAAACGCUUGAAGUCAGUCGCGUCGACCGAGACUCAGCCUUGCCUUGGCUUGGUGUACUUCUCGGCUGACGGGUCAGCAUCAAUUUUGCCCCUCGGAUAAUGGUGAGGGAAAUGUGGCACCUUUGCGGGUGUGUUAUAGUCCUUUGUCGCAUGCGAGGGUUGGGAUUGAGGAACUCAGCACGCGCCUUUUGGCGUCGGGGCUCUGCCCACGAUACGUGCUUAGGAUGUWGGCGUAAUGGCUUUAAACGACCCGUCUUGAAA